Long non-coding RNA from Phyllostomus discolor (pale spear-nosed bat), 465 nucleotides. RefSeq lists it as uncharacterized. The record is from RefSeq and is a predicted model, not a curated record. Lineage: Eukaryota; Metazoa; Chordata; Mammalia; Chiroptera; Phyllostomidae. The transcript has 2 exons.
CUCUUCCUCCCUCCCUUCCCCUCUGUCUAAAAAAAUAAAAUAAAAUAUUAAAAAAAAAUUAAAAGAUAACAUUAAAAACCCUUAUUAUUAAGAAAGAAUAGGGAACUUAGCACUCAACUUCAAUGACUUUGAGUUUUAGUUUUCAUUUUGGUAUGGGAAGUCAACAGUGAAGCUUACAGUCCCAUCCAGGGUAGAGCGUGUUAUCAGAAGUCAUUCUUGCUGGGAGCUCAGAUGGUUAAUUUUUAGUUUAAGAACAAAUGUGCAAGUAUGUAGAUUAUCAGUUGAAAUCAUUUGUCUUUUGUGUUGUGAAGAAUUUCAGGCAGAUAAUUUAAAAUUGUCUUGGGUUGGUAGCAGUUCCUGGCAACUGAUAUAAGCAAAUGCACCUUCUCUCUGGAGGAGCACAACAUCAAACCAGGCCUCAACGGAUUGCUGUAGGUAAAAUUCCAAGAAACCCAUAGUAAAAAA